RNAcentral lists this non-coding RNA (115 nucleotides) under Krasilnikoviella flava. RNAcentral describes it as "Promicromonospora flava SAM-IV sequence". It matches the Rfam family "SAM (S-adenosyl methionine) riboswitch aptamer". From Rfam's summary of the family: SAM-IV is a mRNA element that regulates gene expression via direct sensing of S-adenosylmethionine (SAM or AdoMet). Lineage: Bacteria; Bacillati; Actinomycetota; Actinomycetes; Micrococcales; Promicromonosporaceae. The record is from Rfam by way of RNAcentral.
GGUGACGAGCGCCAGCACCCAAGGCCCGGCUCGCUGGCCAGCAACCCUUCGACGUGACGGGGUGCUCCGGGAACGACCUGACCCCGCCGCGCCCGCGGCGGGGUAAGCACGGCUC